Molecule: ribosomal RNA, 275 nt
Filed under: uncultured prokaryote
Description: partial 16S ribosomal RNA
Rfam family: Bacterial small subunit ribosomal RNA
Source: RNAcentral
UACGUAGGGGCAAGCGUUGUCCGGAAUUAUUGGGCGUAAAGCGCGCGCAGGCGGUCCUUUAAGUCUGAUGUGAAAGCCCACGGCUUAACCGUGGAGGGUCAUUGGAAACUGGUCGACUUGAGUGCAGAAGAGGGGAAGUGGAAUUCCAUGUGUAGCGGUGAAAUGCGUAGAGAUAUGGAGGAACACCAGUGGCGAAGGCGGCUUCCUGGUCUGUAACUGACACUGAGGCGCGAAAGCGUGGGGAGCAAACAGGAUUAGAUACCCCGGUAGUCCCU